UUUCAACAAUGAAGCGAGUGGCGAACUGGUGAGUAACACGUGGGAAAUCUGCCCAGAAGCAGGGGAUAACACUUGGAAACAGGUGCUAAUACCGUAUAACAACAAAAUCCGCAUGGUCCGAGUUUGAAAGAUGGCUUCGGCUAUCACUUCUGGAUGGUCCCGCGGCGUAUUAGCUAGAUGGUGAGGUAAAGGCUCACCAAGGCAGUGAUACGUAGCCGACCUGAGAGGGUAAUCGGCCACAUUGGGACUGAGACACGGCCCAGACUCC
RNAcentral lists this ribosomal RNA (268 nucleotides) under uncultured Lactobacillus sp. RNAcentral describes it as "partial 16S ribosomal RNA". It matches the Rfam family "Bacterial small subunit ribosomal RNA", at positions 78 to 339 of the family's 1533-position model. The record is from RNAcentral. Lineage: Bacteria; Bacillati; Bacillota; Bacilli; Lactobacillales; Lactobacillaceae.